UACAGAGGUCUCAAGCGUUGUUCGGAUUCAUUGGGCGUAAAGGGCGCGUAGGCGGCAAGGCAAGUCGGGUGUGAAAGCUUGGGGCUUAACCCCGAAAGGGCACUCGAAACUGCCCUGCUAGAGGGCCGGAGAGGAGAUCGGAAUUCACGGUGUAGCAGUGAAAUGCGUAGAGCUCGUGAGGAAGACCGGUGGCGAAGGCGGCCUUCUGGACCAAUACUGACGCUCAUGCACGAAAGCGUGGGGAGCAA
RNAcentral lists this ribosomal RNA (248 nucleotides) under uncultured bacterium. RNAcentral's name for it is "partial 16S ribosomal RNA". It matches the Rfam family "Bacterial small subunit ribosomal RNA", at positions 524 to 771 of the family's 1533-position model. The record is from RNAcentral.